Long non-coding RNA from Thalassophryne amazonica, 302 nucleotides. RefSeq lists it as uncharacterized. Lineage: Eukaryota; Metazoa; Chordata; Actinopteri; Batrachoidiformes; Batrachoididae. The transcript has 3 exons. The record is from RefSeq and is a predicted model, not a curated record.
GGAAGGGCAUCCGGCGUAAAACCUGUGCCCAUUCAACAUGCAGAUCCGACCCCAAGUGCAAACAAGGGAGCAGCCGAAGGGACUUACUUUUUUGUAUGCAAAAGAUAAUUUCCAAAGUGGGCAAAUUCUUUAUAAACAAUUAUAGCAUGGACACAUAGUCAAAAGAAAGUUGUAUUCAUUUAUUUUUAGUUUUUCACAUAUAAAAUGUAAUAAUUUAAAAUGCAGUUUCAAACUGAAACACAAGGCAUGGCAAAUCAAUGACAGUGUUGCUCUUGAAUAUUAAAAAAAAAUCAAGUCAUGAG